GAUGAACGCUGGCGGCGUGCCUAAUACAUGCAAGUCGGGCGAACGGACGAGAAGCUUGCUUCUCUGAUGUUAGCGGCGGACGGGUGAGUAACACGUGGAUAACCUACCUAUAAGACUGGGAUAACUUCGGGAAACCGGAGCUAAUACCGGAUAAUAUUUUGAACCGCAUGGUUCAAAAGUGAAAGACGGUCUUGCUGUCACUUAUAGAUGGAUCCGCGCUGCAUUAGCUAGUUGGUAAGGUAACGGCUUACCAAGGCAACGAUGCAUAGCCGACCUGAGAGGGGGAUCGGCCACACUGGAACUGAGACACGGUCCAGACUCCUACGGGAGGCAGCAGUAGGGAAUCUUCCGCAGUGGGCGAAAGCCUGGCGGAGCAACGCCGCGUGAGCGAUGAAGGUGUUCGGAUCGUAAAACUCUGUUAUUAGGGAAGAACAUAUGUGUAAGUAACUGUGCACAUCUUGACGGUACCUAAUCAGAAAGCCACGGCUAACUACGUG
Molecule: ribosomal RNA, 497 nt
Filed under: uncultured bacterium
Lineage: Bacteria
Description: partial 16S ribosomal RNA
Rfam family: Bacterial small subunit ribosomal RNA
Source: RNAcentral